RNAcentral lists this non-coding RNA (433 nucleotides) under Pan troglodytes (chimpanzee). The record is from RNAcentral. Lineage: Eukaryota; Metazoa; Chordata; Mammalia; Primates; Hominidae.
GGCCCAAGUUACCCACAUUUCUGCCCAGCUGACUACAACUUCUGGUUUCCAUGACCCCCUCUCAGGUUUGAUAGUUUGCUAGAACAACUCACAAAGUGAAGGAAAAUGGUGUACUUACUAUUACUGGCUUAUUAUAAAAGCUACAACUCAGAAACAGCCAAAAGGAGGAGAUGCACAGAGCAAGGUGACCAGUCCGCAUCCUGAUACUGUCUCGGAGUCCCCCAGCCAAGAAUCAUCUCAUCAGCAUAAACUCAGGCAAUGCUGAAAGGCAUUCAGAAUGGUACUGGCCAUGUAACAUCCUCAGGAAAAUGGAGAAAGGAGUUUUUGGAGACUGCUAUGUAAGCCAGAAUACUAGUCACACAGUGCAGGUGGGAGCGGCGGGGAAGUAACCUCCUUUUUUUUUAGACUAAUACAUUUAUGGUAUACAUCUGAA